This 98-nucleotide ribosomal RNA is filed under the name uncultured bacterium. Its description in RNAcentral is "partial 16S ribosomal RNA". It matches the Rfam family "Bacterial small subunit ribosomal RNA", at positions 1379 to 1482 of the family's 1533-position model. The record is from RNAcentral.
CCUUGUACACACCGCCCGUCAAGCCACCAAAGCGGGGGGCAUCCGAAGUCGUCGGAGCCGCAAGGCAGGCGCCGAAGAUGAAACCCGUGAUGGGGACU